This 347-nucleotide long non-coding RNA is filed under the name Lathyrus oleraceus (garden pea). RNAcentral describes it as "Pisum sativum (pea) long non-coding RNA (PSAT_LNC028875)". Lineage: Eukaryota; Viridiplantae; Streptophyta; Magnoliopsida; Fabales; Fabaceae. The record is from RNAcentral.
CCAUGACUUGAUCAUACUCUCUAGGCAAUACGGAUACCAUAUUGCAAGCGAUGUCUCAUGAGGCGUCUGAGUAUAAGUCAUAUGUCAUCAUGUUAUCUUCAUGAUUUUACUUCUCUGCAAAUACCUUCUUCUGAGGAGAAAACAACUUCCUCUCGACAUGCUUUCUUUCUUCCUUCUUUUCUUGCUUCAAUGGUACAUUGCUACUUGACUCGGGCUUUGCAUGUUCUUUAGUCUCCCUCUCAACUUUUCUUUAUUGUUGUUGCCUCCUCCACUACGACAUGGAAAUUAGGUUCUUCCCCUUGUAAUUUUCGGAGCAAUGCACCAACUGCUUCGAGGCCUAAAACUCC